RNAcentral lists this transfer RNA (73 nucleotides) under Candidatus Roizmanbacteria bacterium RIFCSPHIGHO2_02_FULL_43_11. RNAcentral's name for it is "tRNA-Met". It matches the Rfam family "tRNA". Rfam says of the family: Transfer RNA (tRNA) molecules are approximately 80 nucleotides in length. Their secondary structure includes four short double-helical elements and three loops (D, anti-codon, and T loops). Lineage: Bacteria; Candidatus Roizmaniibacteriota. RNAcentral also lists the same sequence under 2 other names. The record is from RNAcentral.
GGCUGAGUAGCUCAGUGGUUAGAGCGGUCGUCUCAUAAGCGACAGGUCGUGGGUUCGAUCCCCACCUCAGCUA